RNAcentral lists this transfer RNA (76 nucleotides) under Nocardioidaceae bacterium SCSIO 66511. RNAcentral describes it as "tRNA-Lys". It matches the Rfam family "tRNA". Rfam says of the family: Transfer RNA (tRNA) molecules are approximately 80 nucleotides in length. Their secondary structure includes four short double-helical elements and three loops (D, anti-codon, and T loops). Further hydrogen bonds mediate the characteristic L-shaped molecular structure. tRNAs have two regions of fundamental functional importance: the anti-codon, which is responsible for specific mRNA codon recognition, and the 3' end, to which the tRNAs corresponding amino acid is attached (by aminoacyl-tRNA synthetases). tRNAs cope with the degeneracy of the genetic code in two manners: having more than one tRNA (with a specific anti-codon) for a particular amino acid; and 'wobble' base-pairing, i.e. permitting non-standard base-pairing at the 3rd anti-codon position. RNAcentral also lists the same sequence under 1 other name. Lineage: Bacteria; Bacillati; Actinomycetota; Actinomycetes; Propionibacteriales; Nocardioidaceae. The record is from RNAcentral.
GCGGCAUUAGCUCAAUUGGCAGAGCAACUGACUCUUAAUCAGUGGGUUCGGGGUUCGAGUCCCUGAUGCCGCACCA